AUCACGCGUGAAAUUUUAUCUACGAUUUAUGAACAAAUUCUAUUUCGCCUGUUCCUUAGCUGUUUUCUUAUAUUUUUUUUUUCCUUCUUCCUUUUCCUUUCUUCGGCACGGAGAAUUUGACGCUUCGUUAAUCUUAGAAUCGCUUAUAUUUUUAGACCUUCUUGAACUGGCCUAUAUUAAACGAGGCUCUAACCUAUUAUAUAGAUAUUUUAAUUUGUUUACAGUUCAUGAUUAUUGUCGAGUUACACUGUCGAGUAGCCUCAAAUCGAUACACCUGCAACUUUAGUAACUUUCGAAGUAAAAGCUACAUCAUAGUCUAUUUUGUGGUAUGUUUUAUUCGUUGCCCUUUGCAAAAUUACGCUGUGCCUUCGAUGCUUUUUAUUUUAUUAAUUUCCCUCUAUCCGCCACUGUACAAUAUUCAUAAUUGAUUCGUAAUAUUUGCAAGAGACAUUUAAUUCGUUUUAAAAAUAUGUCAUUGAUACAUCGGGGUUAUUAAUCAACAAAUGUAAUCAAUAGAUAAUACUUAACAAAUGUAUCGUUACAUUCGUAUUUACAACGACGAAAGGGAAUUACUGUUGUUCGUAUUUACAACGAUGAAAGGGAAUUACUGUAACUCGUCUUUUUCGAUUUCCAGCUGUGGAAAAACAAAAUUCUCGUUCAACCAUCAAGGGAUUUUAAUCAAUCGUACAUUUUAUCUUUCACGAGCGAAUAUCGGUCUCGUACGAUUGAAAUAUCGUUCCAGAUAUUCGUAAUUAUUUCGAAUAAUUGACGAUGCGAAGUUCAGAGGAGCCAACGUUAAACUGCGCGGCUGUGCUUUCGAAGGGAACCGAAGUUUGGCUAAUUUUAUCGUUCGCUCGACACUUUCGUCGCUAUUUUUUGCUCAACGUCCCUUCUCCGCGACAUCCGUCUCUUUGUGAAAUCGUAGAAACUCCGUGUUUCUUUCGCCUCGACCAAUUCCGUUUCUUCUUUUUAAUUUGUAAACACGAGACGUUAACGUCCCAUUGCUCGGCCAUUUAUUAUCGAAGCAAAGCGAAACUUUUUUAGGAGAAAGAAUUCGGAUUAAAUUUCGAAUUAGAAACAUUACUCUGCGAAGAAAAUUCUUUUUUCCUUCUAUCGUAACCCGUGACCACAAAGAAUCUUCGUUUUAUCGAUAAAACUACCGUUGUUGCUUACUUUCAGAGGAAAACUUUCUUACGAAAAGCUUCAAGAAAAUUUCGUUAAGGAGAAUUCGGAUUAAUUUGUUGAUCAAAAACAUUGCCAGUUUUCAAGGGAAAUUCUUUUCUAUUCCAUUGUAAUCCACGAAGGAUUUUAUUAAUUAUCUUGUUAUUAGUAACACUCUGACGUUUUCUUGUUCUCAUAAAGCAGAGCACAACACUUUCUUACAAAGUACGAAUCGUAUUAAAACAAAGGAAUUGCGGACAAUGUUAAUUCCAAUCGAAAAUACUAAUCUCGAAAAAUUUGUCUGCGAUACAAGACAAAAAUACGUAAUUUACGAAAGAUCGAUACGUCGAUAAUUAAAAAGGGCACAGAAAAUAUUCCUAACGACGUCUUAAUCAACAUUGCAAGCCCGAGUUUUCCCAUUUUUUCUUUACUCUGCGAUCGCAGCUUUCAAUGUGCUCUCCCCCUCCUUUUCUUCUAUCGAGCAAUAUGCAAUCCCUCUCUCUCUCUCUUUUUUUUAACAGUUAAACGUGUAAUAGAACAGCGACCUGACCUGACCUGACCUGACAUAACAUCAUCGGACUUUUUUCUUCCUGGACUCUUAGUCAGGGAAUGGCUAAUGGAAACGACACGGGCAACGUGCACGAACACGAAAAAUAGAAUGCAACGGAUUCUGCAGCGAAAUUAUAGUUGAAACGUUAAUUGACUGGUCGGCGAAUCAAGUAUUGGGAAACGCGGCUGAAAAAAUCCAUCGAAAUAGAAAUCAGCUUAACAGUGUAUUAUAAAUUGCUGGGUAAAUUAAACGUCAUGUUUAAAGCAGGAUAAAUGCUUGUGUAACGUUACGGGGGAUGCGUGUAGAGGAUUGCGAAAGAGGAAAUUAUCCGUAGUUGUUGGGUAUUGUUGAAUGAGAAUAAAAAAAAGGAGAAGUCUAUAUAAAGUGGUUUUCUAAUGGAAUUGCUCAAGGUCGUUGUUAUAUCGUUUCAAGCGACUAUACUUGACGUGCGUGUAUCUAGAAGAUAAAAAUGUAAUGUAAUGCUUGUAAAAAUUAUUCAAAGAAAGGGAAUUACCUUAACAUCGUCUGCACUUUUUUCUGGUAAAUAAAACCAUCGCAAUUUCUUUGUACGUCUGUCAACAUCAAUUAAUAAAAUUAUCUGCCAUAAUUAUAGCAUCAAUCAAAUUCGAAGAUGGUAUCCCACUGGGGGUAGCCAUCCACAUGUUAUAAUACUAUAUCACUAAGCUAUAAUAUUUUACCAAAUGUCCUACUGGACAAAUUGUAAAAUGUAAAUAAAUAAAUAAAAAAAACAAAAAAAAUAAUUAUAGCAUGGUAUCGUAUUACCAAAACAAGUAUACCAUUCAGCAUAAUGAAACAAGCAAAAGAAUCAUGUUUUAAAAAAAUAAAUUCUUAUAAACAAUUGGAAAUCAUAAUCUCGAUACAUUUAACUGGACGUUUCCUAAUAAAAUCGUGCACCAUAAUAAAAUAGCCAAAGGAGUUUGUUGCGUCGGGCAACACUCUACCUGGACCAGGUCAUACACCGCGGGCCAGACGGACACCAGAUGUCCGCUGAUCCUUACGGCGUACCCUCAAUAGCCUUAAGGACCCGUCAUAAAUCCCAAUAAUUUGCUUGCUAAGGUCCUUCAGACCGAACAAAUAUCUUUUUCUAAAUCACUUUCUAAGGACUAUUGUCUAUCACGGCUGGACAAGGGAAAGUUGGGUUUUCCCACGUACGAUGCUUCCCAAUAGCAAAUUUCUAUCGAGGGCAGCUAAGACCCUUCCUAGUCCACCAACCUUCGUUUGACCAAUUAACAACGAAUCCUAUUUCCCUCACUCUCCUAGCCAAAAUCGUCACCAACAAAUCCGAUGGUCUCGUGCGCUAGACACACUCAUCCUUAGCUUUCCUCCGCUACAGCAUCGUCACCGAACAUCACUGAUCCUUCAUCCUUCAAACAUUCAACAUCCUUCGACCGGGUUUACAUCCGAAGAUCAGUCACUCACUUAUCUUAUGCAUACGCACCAGCGUAACUAUGUUCUUCGCAAAGUUGUUGGAAUAAACUGUCAUUUACAACUCGUUACAUCAGUGUCAUAUUCAAUUAACCACCUCUAUUAUCCUAAUCGAAAUAGGGGAUCGAUCAUUUCGUGGCGUCGAUUAUCUAAUCGUGACGGGAAUUUACGACUCCCGUUGGCGUGCAUCCUCGCGAUCGCGUCUCUCCGCGAGUGGUCGAAACAGAGUUGUCAAUUUCUAUUUCCACGAGGAGAAAAAGAUAUUUUCUUUGCUACGUCAAAAGAACACUGUACUGUGAUAAAAGGCAUCUCGACGUAUCUUUGUACCUAACUCAGCAUCUCGUAGCAAAAUUAUCCACCGUAAUUUACCACGUGUACCAGCGAAACAAGUAUGCUAUCCGCCAUAAUAAAAUACCUAGAGAAAUCGUCAACAUUUUUUUUUCAUAAAAGAAGAAAGGAAUUCUUUGAAUGACUAGCUAAAAAUCACCGCUACUCUCGUUAUUAUAAAACUAAAACUGUCUCAAAAUCUUCGUACAUCUAACUCAAUACUCUCUAGUACAAUCGUCCACUAGAAUAAAAUACUCGAAGGAAUUGCCAACUCCUCUUUCCAUAAAGAAAAAAAAAGAAAAGAAGAAAGUAAAAGGAGAGAAAUUCUUUCUUGACUACCCCGACAACUUACUACGACAGUAAGUUCGAUUUACUAAUGUCAUCAACUCCGCCUCUCCCUGAGAAACAAACAUCGAACAACGUCGCUCUAAUAAAACCAUCCAUCCGUAAUUCAUGGUACUUCGUGAAACAGCUACAUCAUCCAGCACGACAAAAUACUCCGAAAAAUCGUUCUUACACAAAAAAAAGAAGAAAAAAGAAAGAGGAGAAGUUCUUUCUUUAAUCACCCCAACAGCCACUUCGUUUAUCGAUGUAAUCGACUCCGCUGUUUCCGAGAAAGAUGACCGACACUCGGCAACAAAAAACCAUCCGCGUAAUUCGUACGUUCGUAUUCCUACGUACACAGAAGCGAAACGGCUACGGCAUCCACCGUAACCGAACACCCAAACAAACCGUCAACUUCUCCUUCCACAGUAGAAAAAAAAAACUCUUUGUUCACUGCCUCGAAAACUUGCUGCCGUAAUAAAACUGUUCAAAAAUCGCCGGUAUCCGUCUCAUCCACCGUUGACCAAACUUCUCUUUAAAACUCCUCCUCAUCGUCCCUGAUCCACGGACGAGAAGCUCGGCCUUCGAAACAACCCCGAAGUCAUCCUCACCCACCUACCUACCCCAUCCAUCCCUUUUGUGGGACGUCGUCGUUAUCCAAUUAGACGUCUCGAUUCCUGCCGCUGCCCCUCCAUUGUCCCGUUGUUUCUCUCUGGCAAUGUUUAAUAUCGGCGAAAAUCGCUAGGCUGCAGAGGCAAGGACGAUUAAAAAUGAACGCCGGGGCCGCGUGGGCCUCUAAGAAGCCGAGAAAGAACGAGAGGGUGGGCGUGGAUCGCGGGGGGUGAAAGCGGCGGACUGCUCUAUUGUGCGAAACUGUGUCACAGGGACUGGGCUCGGGCGUCCGUAAGGCAAGUGCGCAAAGUGAAGAGCCGCCUCUCGCCGUCCAUUUUUCCAUCUACAAAUGAUUUCUGCGGCGUUAUCGCUGGUGCGCGAAACUCUGCUUCUGGAUAGGGGGGAGAGAGGGGAAGCGCGGCCAGGGGGAGAGAUGCGCGCGGCCUCGUGAAAACUCAGAGUCUCGCGGAUUCGCAAUGGUUCGCCGCAUUUUUACAUUAACGAACGCCGAGCUACGGUUAUUCGCGUUAAUAAAGUCGACCACAUCGAGAAAUAUGGAAUGGACGAAACUGAUAACGAUAAAAACCGAAGAUACGAAGAAAAUGCCAACUGGCAAGUUUUGCAAAGACAAACGCGAAAUUGACACAGCAUUUUGCUCCGAGGACCAGAGAGAACAGAACGAAAAGAGAGAAACUCGACUGAAAUACUGUGAGACUGACGCGAGAACAGCCAACUACAACAGGUAGAAACUCGUUUAUCCGAAAGUUCGGAUAAGAGAGGCUCACCGGCUAUCCCCACCCGUUAUAUUAUAAGUUCGGAUACGAGAGGCUGCCGUUCGGAUGACCGAGUUUGUCUAAUUCGUUUUCACGAAUACACAAUCUUUGGUUUCGUGAUGGUAACUAUGGAAACGGCACGUAUCGGUUUACUCAACAAUAUGUCGUGCGAUAAAUUUGUGUGUGUGUGUGUGUGUGUGUGUGUGUGUGUGUGUGUGUGUGUGUGUGUGUGUGUGUGUGUGUGUGUGUAUAUAUAUAUAUAUAUAUAUAUAUGCGAAUACAAAUAUAUAAACGCUGCAGAUAUGAGGUGAGAAAAAAACUCGCGGUUCACGCUUUGUUUACGCCACAGAGUGUGCUCGUUGGUGCUUCUCCUCAGCCACACGCAGGACUUCGUGAAAUGCAAUAUAUAUAUAUACACACGUAAGAACAAGAUACAUCGGUGAUCCUCGUGUUAGGUAAUAGAGGCUCGCUUAGGAGUUCGUAUGUGUGAGGUUGGGUCUGAAUUUUUUGUACAAACGAGGUUCUACCGUAUCAACAAAGAGACGUGUAUUACACGUAGCGUUACACGUAGUACGAGGAUCAAAUGACGUAGAACUUCUUUGGUUCGUAACUUUGUAUUUCGAUAAGACGUUUCAGAAAGGUAGAAUUCGGUUGUUGUUGCCUCGCCACCGGGUUGCCACAAUGUUUACGCCGCAGCUUCGGUGAAAGCGGAGGGUCAGGUCGGAAGCUAAUUGCACGCGAGUUGUUCCACUUGUUCGUCGCUGUUGAAACGUCGUCCUCCUAACGUCUCUUUAAAUGGUCGCGAUUUUGUGGAACUCUGGCUCUCUCUCCCACGGAGGAAAAGCCAUACUUCCACGAAGUAACGUAUCGAGUUUAGAGCAAAUUUCGCCGACUGUUACCGUGCUCCGUCAGUUCCCGGAACAGCUUCGACGUUCGCUGGCGUUGCACCGGUCUUUUGGAUGCGAUCGACGUCCGCUAGAAAAACCGACUCACGCCGUGCAAACGCCUGGGUUCUUGAUAGUUUUUCACGUGUCGAGUUUCACAGCGACGGCGUAACGUCUUUGUGGAAAAUGGUGGCAAGAGGUUGCGAACGAGAGAUUACGUACCUCCUUAACAUUUAACAAGAUACGUUUCAAAUUUUGCUGCAAGUAGCGCGCUACAGAGACGGAACGAACUUAUGGGACGACGAAGAUACCUAAACAAUUUCCUAUUUAAGAACAAUAAUUUAUAAUUUAAAAUCUGUCAUUUAAUAGAUAUCUCUAUAUUUCUUCCUCCUCCAGCGUACAUCGAGAUCGAACGAGAAGAGGAAUGAGAAAUCUAUGUAAAGCAACAAUCUCCUUUUUAUAUCCAACAGGCAAAAAUUAACUAGACGUACGACGUAUACACGUUCCUUCCGCUGUCUUCGAUCGACAAAAAAUCCACCCUGCCGAUUCUCCACCGCGUGCAACAUCCCCAGAACACGUAAAAAGUGCGGUGGAAACUCGUGUAACCGACGCAACUCGAUUAAUCUUAUCAGAAGGACGAGGCAUCGACUCGUAGCUACUACCUUGGCUGCAAGGGUUUACUAGCUCCUGCCCCUAGAGAAGUGCGCUACAGUGCAACCAAUUGCAUCUUCGAGCGUCUCGAGGCUCGUGUUUCACCCUGCUUUAAGGACGACCUCGCUUCUAAUUAACAUAAAUACUCGGCCAACGACGGUUUACAGCGAGUUCAUUGUGCCGGCCACCCGCCAGCCUCCUCGCAAAUAUUGACGCACAGUGGAUUUUAUGGACAGAUUAUGGUUGCUCGAAAUGGGAUCGUAAAGCGUGAGUAGUAAGAGGGUGAUUUAGUUGGCUCGGGGUUGGCUUUACUUGGCGACCAGUAGACUGCGGAUUUUUCUGCAUUUGUGACAAGUAUGAUGCUUCGAAAUAUGAUACAAAGAAAUAUGUAUAAUAUCGAAGGUAUGAUCGUAAUAUUUAGUUAAUAGUAUAAUUGAAUUAAUAAAUACAGUUAACCAAAUUAUUGGCUAUACACAGUUAUAGUUAGUAAUAUAAGUAUAGUUAAUCAUUUAGUUAACACUAACCUUACCAGACCCGGUCAAAUGACCGGUUUUAAAAUUUAAUUUAAAAUUGUAUCUUCGUUCUUAUUUCUUUCGUUCGUCUAACUUUACGUAAAUUCUUCUAUUACCCUAUUAAUCAGUUUCUCAAUUAUUUACGUAAAGUUGGACGAGCGAAAGAAGCGACAACGAACGUACAAUACAAUUUCGAAUGAAAGUUCGAAGCCUGGUAAGGUUAGGUUAGGUUAAUAUUCGCUACUAUCGUCUUCCGAGAUCGAUGUAUAUAUCGUACGAAACAUAAAUACAUUAUUCGAAAUCUUACGGCUGGUAUAUCAAAGUACAAAAUUCGUCGAAGUGCUAACUAUGUAAUUUCAAAUAUUAUCUAUUCCUAGAAACACGAUAGCGUCCCAUUAAUUCCGAACAUCUAUCUGCUCCAUCUAUCUAGAACCCCGUUUGACGUAUUAUUCGUUCACCCUAUCUAACAUUCGAUACGUUCGAAAAUACAUAAUGGAAGUCGGUUUACACGAACGAAAUUUUAGCGGCGGCUGAUUACCUGAACAUUAGCCGAGCUUCUAUCACCUGAACUGCCGCUCAGCGUCAAUCCACCAUAUUACGUACACCUGUGGGACUCUUUUUACACGGCACCUUUCUUCCUCUACGCCAUUCACUUUAACACGGCUUUUUUAUUUUAAACGGUUUAUUCACUUCUACACGUUCUUUUUAACUCUUAUGUUAUUGAUUAUGUUAUUAACUCUUACACGUCCCGCUUGUUUUUCUUUUUUCACGCGUUUCAUCGUUCCACCGUAAACGAUACCAAUCUCGAACGUUUAACGCGAUUUCAAAGGGAUUUAGAAACUCGUAUGGCUUGUUACGCAGAAUUAUCAAAGGAAAGAACGUACGUCGACGCGACUGAUACAAACCGGUCAGAUCGGACGUAAACGAUACUUCGAACGACGAAAGUGACCUCUUCGCCGCUAAUCAGAAAGCUUGUAAUACGUGCUCGUACAAUAAUAAUAAUAUGGAAAGUGACGAUGACCAAAAUGUUGAUCUUUGGGAAAAGUAUUUUUCCCAUUUCCCUUAACGCGUUACCUUCUCCUUCGUGCGUUUAUUGAAUAAAACGUCGUCAUCGAACGCGCCUCUAUGUUUUAACCAGUUGGUUGUUGCGCGUAUCUAAGAUGCGUGGCAAAAAGUAAGCGACGACGAGUAUACUCGUCAAACGCAGAGUAUGUGUAACUGUUAUAACAUGGAAUUAAGUCGUAACCGAAUGACUCUUUUGUUUUUCAAUUUUAUUACUGCAAUUUACUGCCAUUACUAAAUUGCAAUUUAAACGGCAAAUUGCGAUUACUUUUUAAGCGCGACGAGUAUACUCGUCGUAACGCAGAAUGUUGCCAUUUCUUCAUGACGAGUAUACUCGUCGAUCAUACUGACGAGUAUAUCCGUCGAUCAUACUGACGAGUAUAUCCGUCGAUCAUACUGACGAGUAUAUCCGUCGAUCAUACUGACGAGUAUGUCCGUCGAUCAUACUGACGGGUAUAUCCGUCGAUCAUACUGACGAGUAUGUCCGUCGAUCACACUGACGAGUAUACUCGUCAAAAACAGCUAACUGGUUGAAUUGCUUCUUCUAUUGUUUGCUUUGAUUUAACACGAGUUUCGUACUCUGUUGCAAACUAAUCGUUUCACGACUUUUUUACACUUUUUACCACACCAACCCUGUAAAAACAGUCGCAGAUGCGUACGAACGUUUAUCACAAAAAGCUGACCACGCGUCGUAUGACACAAUUCGCAGUUGCUAAAAGUUUGCAAUGUUAUUAAACGUUAUUUGGGAGGAAAUGUUUCGUGGAAUCCUCUUAUGUCUCGUACGAACACGAACUCCUAUUAACCCAGCAAAAAAUCACAGGUGGAAAUAGGUCAUAGGGAGAAAUAGAUGGACUCCUAUUAUACGAACUAACUUGUCUCCCGUCAGUUUCACAUGAACCAAGUUCUGCUGUAUUACGAGUUUCCUAAUAACUAACCAAUUAAUGUUCGUUCAAAAAAUUUGUACGAUACACAGCGUUGCGAAUAAUUAUAGUUUCGAACAUACUUUCCGCGUUAUUUCCUCGAUAUUUCCAACGUACCAUUGAUCAUGCCUGGAUGUUCUAAGCGAAACCUUUUUUUCUUUUUUUCUUUUUGCAAAUGCUAUAGAAUAUUAGGAGAUAUUACGUUUAAUAACUAGAAUUGAGGUGAAGGGACGAUUCUUCAACGAGACAAUUGCCACAGUAAAGAUUUCGGAAUAGAAUUAUUACCGUGGCCGGUAUCGGAUGCCGAACUGUGGGUGAAUUCUAACAAGGAAAGUUUACGAUCAGGCCACCUGUAAAACAUAUCGUCGAACUUGGAGAAAGAAUAAAAUCCACGUGAGCGGAUAUUCGAAACGAAACUUUAAACAAGUUCAGUGGAUAGCGUGGCCAACAGAUUGAUAGAGAGCAAGAGUGGAAUACACGUUGCUAAUUUUGGGGUGGGACAAGUGGGUGGAAAAAAAUCGCUGGAGGACUCACCGUCAGAAAAUCCAGGGAAACGCAAUCGAUGAGCCACUACAAGAAUAUUCGAGUCGAGUACCGC
Molecule: long non-coding RNA, 9820 nt
Organism: Bombus huntii
Lineage: Eukaryota; Metazoa; Arthropoda; Insecta; Hymenoptera; Apidae
Exons: 4
Source: RefSeq, a predicted model, not a curated record